RNAcentral lists this unclassified non-coding RNA (387 nucleotides) under Chytridiomycota sp. Its description in RNAcentral is "partial contains small subunit ribosomal RNA, internal transcribed spacer 1, and 5.8S ribosomal RNA". The stretch from base 1 to 47 matches the Rfam family "Eukaryotic small subunit ribosomal RNA", at positions 1785 to 1831 of the family's 1831-position model. The record is from RNAcentral. Lineage: Eukaryota; Fungi; Chytridiomycota.
AAAGUCGUAACAAGGUAACCGUAGGUGAACCUGCGGUUGGAUCAUUAAAAAUUUGUAUUGGGAUCUGUUCCCCGGAGGUUGAGUUGAGUUGUUGAAAGCAUUUUCACCUCCUCCCUCUGCGGUUUGAGCAGAUUCCCCUGGCACGCUUCAGAUCUGAAAGCUUAAGCCCAAGAUCUGGGGAUGUGUACCAGGUCAUACACAUCUUGUGAACUGUUUUUGUUUCUGGCGGAGGGGUGUGACCAAUCACUGGUCUGCACUUGUCAGCCUGGGAUCUACCCAGGCCGUGGACACCCGCCAACCAAUUGUUGAACCUAAGCUAAGAUUAUCUGUCUGACAUACAUGUAUGAAAAUUACAAACAACUUUUGGCAACGGAUCUCUUGGCUCUC